CCUGUUCUCAUCCUCAUCUCGUCGAAGGCGUCGCCCAACCCCGAGCAUCUCAGUCGGCAUCGCCCAACCCCGUUUUGUUCCCUCUCCGACCAUGACGAUGACCACAAAGAAUCUCCGCCCAUGAAGCAUCUCCGGCUACGAAGAGGAAGGAAGAGAUUAGGAGUUUGGUCCUUUUGGCCUCCGAAGAGGUGGCUAGGCUGAGCUCGAGGUGAAUACGGAAUCAAGUUACAGCGUCGUUUCCAUGGUUACUCUGAAUCAAUGUGUCGUUGUUUAUUUCCCCACCACUACUCGCUGUGAUCAAUGUAAAGUGGUUUGUCACUGGUAUUUAUUUUGACUUGCCAUUAUUAGAUUUUGAUAAUUAAAAAAUUGUGUGUUAUAAUUAAAUGAUUUGCUCAGUUUAGUUUUUAUUCAAUUAGAAUUAGAUUUUUGCGAGGGACGUUUUAUAGUGUCGAGUGGGGACUUUGAUACAGUUAAGCUUAAUCCUCAUCAUUCAAGCACUAUAACAAUACUCAUUGACUAAUCUCAUAGUGUCAUGUAGUUUCCAGAGGCUGCUUCCAUCAUAAUACACAUAUACUAAGUAUUUUCUUAUUAUUAACAUAAAUAUAUAUGUGGAAUUGGAUUGUGUUCAGUGUUCUUCAAGGAAGCGUAAGUGAGUUUUGCUUCCACAAUUGCAAACCAGCUCCAGUCAUAAUUGUUCCAGGCAAAGGUGCCUAAGUGGGAUUCAAUAGUGGGUGUUUUGAAAGCAUCUGCUAGUGUACAUACCUUGUUUGGGAAAAUGCCUGAAACAAUGACAUAAUCAGAUUUGUAUGGUAGAUGGCUCAUAUCCUGAUAUGUUGGUCUAUUAUGCAGACUUUGGUGUGGUGAUGCAGGUGGUAUGAAGAGGUCAACUUCUGUAAAUGAUUCAACUUGCACACAAUAUCUACUUUUAAUAUUUAGUUCAAAAAAAAUUAUGCAGACUUUGGACCACAUUGAUGGUGAAUUUAAGAAUUACAUUUCCCUAUAUAUAUACAAUAGAAUAUGGAAAUUUAAAGAAAAGUAAAUAUGCAUACUUUGAUGUUAUGCUCUGUUUUGCUGUUUGAUGUUUGAUGUUUAAGUGCAUUUUUAAAUUUGUUUUGAUUUUAAAAUGUUAUUGUUAGGGUACUUUCACAGGUGUUGUUUGAUCCAGAACUUUGGUCAGUGCUUGGACUUGCUGGCUACUAACUAUUUUAACUAUAAAAAGGUGUACUACAAGAAUGUAUAGGGGCUUUUAGCUUCUGAGUUGGAGAUAGGGGCUUCACAUUCUUUUUUAUGUUUGUUUGUUUGCCUAAUUUAGUGUUAGUUUUUUUUUUUUGUUCAUUUAGUUUGGUUUGUAUUGGGGUAACUUUUUUUUGUUUUCCAUGUUAGCAACUCUGAUCCAUGGAGUUUGUUGUUGUAGUUCAUAGACAAUACAAUUCAAGCAAGGAUUAUGUAAUUGAAUUUUUUAUGAUUUCUAUUGUAAUUUUUAUGUAUUGAAUAAAUGUGUUCAAUAUUAUUUAAAUAUA
This is a long non-coding RNA of Cannabis sativa, 1520 nucleotides long. RefSeq lists it as uncharacterized. The transcript has 4 exons. The record is from RefSeq and is a predicted model, not a curated record. Lineage: Eukaryota; Viridiplantae; Streptophyta; Magnoliopsida; Rosales; Cannabaceae.